AUGAGAGGUUUAGGCCCUUGGGAGCAUUAUUGGAGCUAACGAUUCAUCCUCUCCCAGUGAUCCUAAAGGCUACUGUUAUUAUUACCCUGAUUUUCAGGGGGAGGAGAGAAAGGAGCCGCAGAAGGUAAAGAGCCCGUGUAGGAAUUUGGUAGAGGAGCGGGGUUAGAAAGCAGAGCUCGGGGUUGAUUCCUCUGCUGGGGAGCAGCAGCGGGGCUCCACCGGGCAGCAGAAACAGCGGUGCAAGUGCAGUUGGAGUCGUACACCGAGGUCUGGCUGAGGAGAGGGCACUCCUUGUGCCGUAUUCCCCAGCCGCUCCGCUUGACUGUAAAUAUUUAACCACGUUGGGUUGGGAACACCAGCUGUCCAGGCUGACGCAGAGUCACUCACUCCGGGGCAAGGGCUGAGCCGGUGGAGAAUGGAGCAGAUUCACCCAGGAGAAGCACUCGUGGGCCCUGCUGAGACCUGUCUGGAGGAAUAAAGGAGAAAGCAAGGACGUAACUCCUCAUCUAUUGGGGUCCGGCGGCAGCACCGGGAGAGGCAAAGAUCCCAAGGAAGAGGCUCCUGGCUCCUGGCACUGACGAUUUUCUCCAGACGAACAGCAUUUACUCCACGUUUGACACCUGCGGUACAGAGCUGGGUGCAUAGCUGUACAAAACAUGAUGGAUUGUUCCCAUUCAUAACAGGUGAGUUUCUGCCUCCAGCAGCAUCCUGACACUCCCACAGAAUAUGUUCCCCUUGUAUACUGCAACACACAAAAUCCCUUCAGGUCCCACUCAGUGGGACUGCAGAUAUUCUCAGGGGUGAAGAAUGAGGCGUUUAUGGCCUGACAUCAUUGCAAGAUCCCCACAGACUUUGGAAGAUGCCGAAACCUCUGCCUUUCCCUGUGCACUGACAACAUCCUGAUCUGUUAUUGUGGCUGAAUUCACCCUGCACAGCUCUGCCCAAACCACUUUCUUCAUCAAAAGCAGAUCCCAACCAGCUUUCUUAUCCAGGGGUGCUUCCCCCCUCGCCACCCUGCAGCCUGGCCAUCGCAUCUGUGGCUCUUGGCAGCCCAACGUGACGCUGACCUGAGCUUCCCUCCUGCACAGGCUGCUGCUCCACCAAGCAGAGGCCAGUGCAGCUGCGGUUUGCUGACAGCCCCGCGGGUGAUCAUGAUGAGCAGGGAGAGCCUGCCAUGCCCUCUGUGCAUACAGCAUUCCAACCUUCUCCACCCCCUUCACAGUACCCGCUUGCUGAGUCCCCUGUUACACCAACACAGCCCAUCUGGUAUGUGCCCCCCUCUGCUACGCAGUUUUGCUCCCUUGCCCCGCUUGCCGGGCGGCUUUGUGGGCCCCUGAGCUGUCACAGUGCGAGCGUUGGCCGCCUCCACCCCACCAAAGAGAAGCUAAUGCUGUGUGACAUCUCACUCCCAGCACAUCACACACAGAAGACGAGACCAGCUGAGCCUGCUCCCUGCUUCCUGUCUUGGAAACUUCCAGCACCAGACACCUAAGCCUCCCUGCAAAGAGCUUUUUCAAGGUGAUGGAAGGGUUUUUUAAUGCACCUGAAAUCAGCUUGUAGCGGGCUUGGCUGCCUUCUUUCUCCCCAGAGCAGGUAACUCAGCAGCGGCAGACUGGGUCACAGGCUGAUUCCUACUCCACUCCAACCAAACCAGGAGCAGCCACGUUAGAGGAGAUUCAGAACUGCCAGGAGCAGGCAGUCUCACCGGCUUCUCCAUACCAGAGGCUGUCUGUAUCGCCUGUGGCUGUGCAUGGCAAAAGCCAUCAAUAAGGUCUACUAGCAAGGAACCUGGGUAAAAGUUUCUGUCCUCUUCUCCUGCUUCCAUAGAACACACUCAGCCCAGCCCUGCAGGCUUCUUUUAGCUGCCUCCAUCCCUGCUCUGUGGAGAGAGUUUGCGCAGGAGUCAGAGACAGGCGAGGGCCGUUGCUAUUCGCAGCCAUCGCAGUGCCUGUGCUUCAGCCGCUUGCUGAUAAAAUGCCCCUCACCGCAGAAACAAAGAGCAGCUUCUGAAAAAAAAUAACCUACUCGCCCUCUACCUCCAAACCAGGCUUGAUCCUGACUGACAGCUUGGGAAAGUUCCUAAUUAUGUCCCCUGGACACUUUGGAGGCGACCCACCCCAGAGCGUGAUGUGAUGGCUCAGCGACUGGAUGGCCUCGUUUGUACUGAUUUAUAUUACCGAGCCAGAUUGAGCCUCAUCAGCCUGGCUUGACCUAGUUUUCCUC
Cuculus canorus (common cuckoo) is the source of this 2223-nucleotide long non-coding RNA. RefSeq lists it as uncharacterized. The transcript has 3 exons. Lineage: Eukaryota; Metazoa; Chordata; Aves; Cuculiformes; Cuculidae. The record is from RefSeq and is a predicted model, not a curated record.